This 467-nucleotide ribosomal RNA is filed under the name uncultured bacterium. RNAcentral's name for it is "partial 16S ribosomal RNA". It matches the Rfam family "Bacterial small subunit ribosomal RNA", at positions 29 to 507 of the family's 1533-position model. The record is from RNAcentral.
ACGCACGCUGGCGGCGUGCUUCACCCAUGCAAGUCGCACGGAAAGGCCCUGCUUUUGUGGGGUGCUCGAGUGGCGAACGGGUGAGUAACACGUGAGUAACCUGCCCUUGACUUUGGGAUAACUUCAGGAAACUGGGGCUAAUACCGGAUAGGAGCUCCUGCUGCAUGGUGGGGGUUGGAAAGUUUCGGCGGUUGGGGAUGGACUCGCGGCUUAUCAGCUUGUUGGUGGGGUAGUGGCUUACCAAGGCUUUGACGGGUAGCCGGCCUGAGAGGGUGACCGGCCACAUUGGGACUGAGAUACGGCCCAGACUCCUAUGGGAGGCAGCAGUGGGGAAUAUUGCACAAUGGGCGGAAGCCUGAUGCAGCAACGCCGCGUGCGGGAUGACGGCCUUCGGGUUGUAAACCGCUUUCGCCUGUGACGAAGCGUGAGUGACGGUAAUGGGUAAAGAAGCACCGGCUAACUACGUG